RNAcentral lists this ribosomal RNA (253 nucleotides) under uncultured bacterium. RNAcentral describes it as "partial 16S ribosomal RNA". It matches the Rfam family "Bacterial small subunit ribosomal RNA", at positions 524 to 776 of the family's 1533-position model. The record is from RNAcentral.
UACGUAGGGGGCAAGCGUUGUCCGGAUUUAUUGGGCGUAAAGAGCGUGUAGGCGGUUUGGUAGGUCCGUUGUGGAAACUCGAGGCUCAACCUCGAGACGCCGGCGGAAACCAUCAGGCUAGAGUCCGGAAGAGGAGAGUGGAAUUCCUGGUGUAGCGGUGAAAUGCGCAGAUAUCAGGAAGAACACCCGUGGCUAAGGCGGCUCUCUAGUACGGUACUGACGCUGAGACGCGAAAGCGUGGGGAGCGAACAGG